GACUGAAAAUCCGUUGGCUUUAUUGACCGUGAGGGUUCAAGUCCCUCUACCCCCA
RNAcentral lists this transfer RNA (55 nucleotides) under Hypopterygium tamarisci. RNAcentral describes it as "partial tRNA-Leu". Lineage: Eukaryota; Viridiplantae; Streptophyta; Bryopsida; Hookeriales; Hypopterygiaceae. The record is from RNAcentral. RNAcentral also lists the same sequence under 3 other names.